GCUUCCGGCAUCUGGCUCAGUUCCGCCAUGGCCUCCUUGGAAGUCAGUCGUAGUCCUCGCCGGUCUCGGCGGGAGCUGGAAGUGCGCAGUCCACGACAGAACAAAUAUUCGGUGCUUUUACCUACCUACAACGAGCGCGAGAACCUGCCGCUCAUCGUGUGGCUGCUGGUGAAAAGCUUCUGCGAGAGUGGAAUCAACUAUGAAAUUAUAAUCAUAGAUGAUGGAAGCCCAGAUGGAACAAGGGAUGUUGCUGAACAGUUGGAGAAGAUCUAUGGGUCAGACAGAAUUCUUCUAAGACCACGAGAGAAAAAGUUGGGACUAGGAACUGCAUAUAUUCAUGGAAUGAAACAUGCCACAGGAAACUACAUCAUUAUUAUGGAUGCUGAUCUCUCACACCAUCCAAAAUUUAUUCCUGAAUUUAUUAGGAAGCAAAAGGAGGGUAAUUUUGAUAUUGUCUCUGGAACUCGCUACAAAGGAAAUGGAGGUGUAUAUGGCUGGGAUUUGAAAAGAAAAAUAAUCAGAUCUGAUUGUUUUAUUUGGCAGCCGUGGGGCCAAUUUUUUAACUCAGAUCUUGCUGAGACCAGGAGCAUCUGAUUUAACAGGAAGUUUCAGAUUAUACCGAAAAGAAGUUCUAGAGAAAUUAAUAGAAAAAUGUGUUUCUAAAGGCUACGUCUUCCAGAUGGAGAUGAUUGUUCGGGCAAGACAGUUGAAUUAUACUAUUGGCGAGGUUCCAAUAUCAUUUGUGGAUCGUGUUUAUGGUGAAUCCAAGUUGGGAGGAAAUGAAAUAGUAUCUUUCUUGAAAGGAUUAUUGACUCUUUUUGCUACUACAUAAAAGAAAGAUACUCAUUUAUAGUUACGUUCAUUUCAGUUUAAACAUGAAAGAAGCCUGGUUACUGAUUUGUAUAAAAUGUACUCUUAAAGUGUAAAAUAUAAGGUAAGGUAAAUUUCAUGCAUCUUUUUAUGAAGACCACCUAUUUUAUAUUUCAAAUUAAAUAAUUUUAAAGUUGCUGGCCUAAUGAGCAAUGUUCUCAAUUUUCGUUUUCAUUUUGCUGUAUUGAGACCUAUAAAUAAAUGUAUAUAUUUUUUUGCAUAAAGUA
This 1097-nucleotide small RNA is filed under the name Pan troglodytes (chimpanzee). RNAcentral describes it as "processed transcript". Lineage: Eukaryota; Metazoa; Chordata; Mammalia; Primates; Hominidae. The record is from RNAcentral.